GGUAGUUUCCUGCCAGGGAAUCCCAGCCCUCCCUCACCUUUGACUUACUCCGGGAAACAGUCAGCAAAUUGAACCGGGACACGGCGCCCGGCAUACCCGGACCCUCAAACCUCAUCAUGAAAUAAAGGCAAGGAAACGUUCUUAGUUAGCCCCAUAGAUCGUCCCACUUCACAAACCGAAGGCUGUAGGCAAACUCAUCUACAAAAUCUGCGCGAACGCCAUCCUCAAAGCACCUUCAAAGGAGGCUUCCUCCUACCCCUUCAGAUGGGGUAAUGCCGGCAAGCGGAGUCGAGCCAAUUGCCAGAGCGGUUGGCCGAGCAGCAAUCGAGCGAUGGUUCAUUGUUUGGAUAGCCAUUACAUCUACCUUUCCUUCCUGGAUGCAUCUAAGGCCUUUAACCAUAU
This 402-nucleotide small RNA is filed under the name Cryptococcus neoformans H99. RNAcentral's name for it is "Cryptococcus neoformans var. grubii H99 hypothetical RNA". Lineage: Eukaryota; Fungi; Basidiomycota; Tremellomycetes; Tremellales; Cryptococcaceae. The record is from RNAcentral.